CGAUUUCGUGCUCUAUAGGUUCAUUUUGUUUCUGUAUCAUUCAGGUUUUUAAUGGAAAUCGAUACGAGCCUUUCAAAGAACAGAGUUUAGCAAGUGGGAACAGGUUUUUAAUGGAAAUCGAUACGAGCCUUUCAAAGAACAGAGUUUAGCAAGUGGGAACAGGUUUAUAAUGGAAAUCGAUACGAGCCUUUCAAAGAACAGAGUUUAGCAAGUGGGAACAGGUAUGAAGCACAAAAUUAUGAUGAAAGU
This 249-nucleotide long non-coding RNA is filed under the name Dendronephthya gigantea. RNAcentral describes it as "uncharacterized LOC114535265, transcript variant X2". The record is from RNAcentral. Lineage: Eukaryota; Metazoa; Cnidaria; Anthozoa; Malacalcyonacea; Nephtheidae.